CGAGGGGUGCAAGCGUUGCUCGGAAUUAUUGGGCGUAAAGGGUAGGUAGGUGGUCUCAUUUGUCUGGGGUGAAAGCCCAGGGCUUAACCCUGGAAGUGCCCCAGAAACGGUGAGACUCGAGUCCUGGAGAGGGUCGUGGAAUUCCCGGUGUAGCGGUGAAAUGCGUAGAGAUCGGGAGGAACACCAGAGGCGAAGGCGGCGACCUGGACAGGCACUGACACUCAACUACGAAAGCGUGGGGAGCAAACAGGAUUAGAUACCCUGGUAGUCCACGCUGUAAACGAUGGGUACUAGACUUGGUGGGUCUUGACCCCUGCCGAGUCGGAGCUAACGCAAUAAGUACCCCGCCUGGGAAGUACGGUCGCAAGACUA
RNAcentral lists this ribosomal RNA (372 nucleotides) under uncultured organism. Its description in RNAcentral is "bacterial SSU rRNA". It matches the Rfam family "Bacterial small subunit ribosomal RNA", at positions 526 to 896 of the family's 1533-position model. The record is from RNAcentral.